Molecule: long non-coding RNA, 546 nt
Filed under: Pan troglodytes (chimpanzee)
Lineage: Eukaryota; Metazoa; Chordata; Mammalia; Primates; Hominidae
Description: lincRNA
Source: RNAcentral
AUUAAAGAGGAACAUCAUGUAGUGUGAGGAGUCAACAUUUCACACUAGAAAGCCCUUGGUUCAAGUUUUGUCUCUGCCACCUACAGAUUUUGUAACCCUGAGGAAACUAGCUACCUCUUUAUGUACUGCCCUAUGGAGAGGCACACAUGUCAGGAAACUGAGGGAGUGCCUUCCAGUCAACAGCCAGCCAGGAACUAAGGUGCUCAGUACAGCAGCCUCCACAAAGGACUGAACAAUGCCAACAGCUAUUUGAUUGUGCUUGGAAGAUCUCCGUUUAGUUAACCCUUCAGAUGAGACCGCAGCCCUGGCCAGCAAACAAAUUGCAGCCUAUGGAAAGACCUUAAGGCAGAAGCACCCAACUGAACGACCCGAAGGCUCUGACUUACAGAAACUGUGAGCAUAUAGUGAAAUGGCCUCUAACUUAUUUUGAAUGGAUUUCUGGGAUAAAGUUCUUCAGUGAUAACAUGUUUGAAGCAGCUAUCUUAUGUGCCCAUGUUACAUGCUCAUGAUAAAGCUGCAUUUCCUGAGGGGACACCAAUGGAUACA